This 1127-nucleotide long non-coding RNA is filed under the name Homo sapiens (human). RNAcentral describes it as "non-protein coding lnc-MYLPF-3:3". Lineage: Eukaryota; Metazoa; Chordata; Mammalia; Primates; Hominidae. The record is from RNAcentral.
AGGCUCUUGGACGGCGAAGCUGGGCAUGGUGGUGGGCAACUGUAAUCCCAGCUACUCAGGAGGCUGAGGCAGGAGAAUUGCUUGAACCUGGGAGGCAGAGGUUGCAGUGAGCUGAGAUCACGCCAUUGCACUCUAGCCCAGGCAACAGAAGUGAAACUCUGCCUAAAAAAAAAAGAAAAGAAAAGAAAGAAAGAAAGGUGGCCCCGUUAAUGUUUAUGCCAAGACAGCCGGCAUGACCUGGAAGUGUCCCAAGCCACAGGGCAUCUUGUUUCCGGGGAGGAUGAAUGAAUCAAAUCGCACCUAUUUUGAGGCAAGCAAGGACUCUGUGACUUCAGGAGCCCUGGUGGGUGGACAGAAGCUCCCUGCUCCCCCAGCCUGUCUACCCAGCAGCGCUUUGGCCAGUCCCAUUCCUGUACUUCUGAGCCUGCCUGUCAGUCCCUCCUCACACGCACACCGUGGCUUUGUGCCUGGUACUGAGUGUCCCGGAGCCCCAAACCACAGGGUCAACCCCAUGAAAGAAACCGGGACUCUGCUCUCAUCCACUCGCCCCCACCCCCCGCGUAAUCCCCUGGUGCUCACACAGCCCCACCGUAAAGUUUUUGUAGCUCCCUGGCAGACUUGUGCUCCUGUUUGCCAGAUCAAAGCCCAGUGACCUGAGCGGCCUGUCCCCAGCAGAGGCCACUAGUCCCUGUGGACCCACCCCAUUGGGAAAGGCAUGGGUUGAACUUUAACCAUUAGGCUCAGGGAUUGGGAUGAGUUUCUACAAAAAGAGGUGGGUACACGCCAGUCCACAGUGGUCCUGAUCAAAGUGAGAACAGACAGCAGGGAACAUCACCCUCUUCAGAUUGGAGUCAGUGGGAACAGACCUAAGAUGUUGGGGAAGAACACUUGGAAGACCUCAGCUUUCUCCUGGGUUGAGCAGAUGUGGGCCCCUCUCUGGAGUCGUUCGAUGAGGCCAGGGUGAUGGUGUUCUCAGCGUUCCUGUGCGCGGCGAACCAGCAGUAACACUUGUAAGUAGAGCCUCAAAUUUCCCAAAUGCAACUGGAUCCUUGUCUUAGCUGAUGGGGUCUUUCAAGAUGAGAGAGUAGAGACCAUCCCGAGCCACACGGGUUCAGAUUUCCACUCUG